Molecule: transfer RNA, 74 nt
Filed under: Phycisphaerae bacterium
Lineage: Bacteria; Pseudomonadati; Planctomycetota; Phycisphaerae
Also listed under: 2 other names
Description: tRNA-Val
Rfam family: tRNA
About the family: Transfer RNA (tRNA) molecules are approximately 80 nucleotides in length. Their secondary structure includes four short double-helical elements and three loops (D, anti-codon, and T loops).
Source: RNAcentral
GGGCCGUUAGCUCAGUUGGCUAGAGCACCUGCUCGACACGCAGGGGGUCACUGGUUCAAGUCCAGUACGGCCCA